UGUUCCUGUUUUCAUGUUGUACUCUUCUUUGUGUCUCUGUGUGUCCUCUGCUAUCUUUUAGGAAGAUUUUGUCUUUGAACGUAGGCCAUCCCUGAUGUAGUGUGACCUCAUGCUGAUCCUUACCUUCAUUACAUUGCAGUGACUAUUUCAGUAAAGAGCAUGUUCUUUGUUUUCAGGUAGACAGAUAAUUGUAUGUGGGAACAGGACACUACACAACCCACUACAGUCUCUUUUUAGGAAUCUUGAAACCAUGGAUCAUCCACAUGUAUUUUGCAACAUGCUUUAGAUUUUUUCCUGGAAAUCCUACAAGGACCCUAAAAAUUGAAUAUAUUGUACAACACAUGUAUGGCCAAUGGU
This 357-nucleotide long non-coding RNA is filed under the name Castor canadensis (American beaver). Its description in RNAcentral is "lncRNA (ENSCCNG00000027736.1)". Lineage: Eukaryota; Metazoa; Chordata; Mammalia; Rodentia; Castoridae. The record is from RNAcentral.